RNAcentral lists this ribosomal RNA (255 nucleotides) under uncultured bacterium. Its description in RNAcentral is "partial 16S ribosomal RNA". It matches the Rfam family "Bacterial small subunit ribosomal RNA", at positions 524 to 776 of the family's 1533-position model. The record is from RNAcentral.
UACGUAGGGUGCAAGCGUUUAAUCGGAAUUACUGGGCGUAAAGCGUGCGCAGGCGGUUGUGCAAGACAGAUGUGAAAUCCCCGGGCUCAACCUGGGAAUUGCAUUUGUGACUGCACGGCUAGAGUGUGUCAGAGGGGGGUAGAAUUCCACGUGUGAGCAGUGAAAUGCGUAGAGAUGUGGAGGAAUACCGAUGGCGAAGGCAGCCCCCUGGGAUAACACUGACGCUCAUGCACGAAAGCGUGGGGAGCAAACAGG